This is a long non-coding RNA of Gadus morhua (Atlantic cod), 249 nucleotides long. RefSeq lists it as uncharacterized. The transcript is spliced from 3 exons. The record is from RefSeq and is a predicted model, not a curated record. NCBI's taxonomy places the organism in Eukaryota, Metazoa, Chordata, Actinopteri, Gadiformes, Gadidae.
GCUGCUCUCUGCUGGACUGGGGAGUCCACACUGUACACUGGAAACUCUCAGGCUGACUGGCUGUCAUCUGUCAGAGAGAUGCUGUGAAGCUCUGGCCUCAGUUCUCAGCUCUAACUCCUCUAGUCUGAGAGAGUUGGACCUGAGUAACAACGAUCUGAAGGAUUCAGGAAUGAAGCUGCUCUCUGCUGGACUGGGGAGUCCACACUGUACACUGGAAACGCUCAGCUUGUCUGGCUGCGUGGUCACACA